Molecule: ribosomal RNA, 508 nt
Filed under: uncultured bacterium
Lineage: Bacteria
Description: partial 16S ribosomal RNA
Rfam family: Bacterial small subunit ribosomal RNA
Source: RNAcentral
CGAACGCUGGCGGCGUGCUUAACACAUGCAAGUCGAACGAAGAGCGAUGGAAGCUUGCUUCUAUCAAUCUUAGUGGCGAACGGGUGAGUAACGCGUAAUCAACCUGCCCUUCAGAGGGGGACAACAGUUGGAAACGACUGCUAAUACCGCAUACGAUCUAAUCUCGGCAUCGAGGAAAGAUGAAAGGUGGCCUCUAUUUAUAAGCUAUCACUGAAGGAGGGGAUUGCGUCUGAUUAGCUAGUUGGAGGGGUAACGGCCCACCAAGGCGAUGAUCAGUAGCCGGUCUGAGAGGAUGAACGGCCACAUUGGGACUGAGACACGGCCCAGACUCCUACGGGAGGCAGCAGUGGGGAAUCUUCCGCAAUGGACGAAAGUCUGACGGAGCAACGCCGCGUGAGUGAUGACGGCCUUCGGGUUGUAAAGCUCUGUUAAUCGGGACGAAAGGCCUUCUUGCGAACAGUUAGAAGGAUUGACGGUACCGGAAUAGAAAGCCACGGCUAACUACGUG